GAAAGCGUAAUAGCUCACUAGUCGAGUCGGCCUGCGCGGAAGAUGUAACGGGGCUAAGCAAUAUACCGAAGCUGCGGAUACGUGUUUACACGUAUGGUAGGGGAGCGUUGUGUAAGUGGAUGAAGGUGGAUUGAGAAGUCUGCUGGACAUAUCACAAGUGCGAAUGCUGACAUGAGUAACGAUAAUGGGAGUGAAAAACUCCCACGCCGGAAGACCAAGGUUUCCUGUCCCAUGCUAAUCAGGGCAGGGUAAGUCGGCCCCUAAGGCGAGGCAGAAAUGCGUAGUCGAUGGGAAACGGAUUAAUAUUUCCGUACUUAUAUAAUCAGUGAUGGAGGGACGGAGAAGGCUAAGCAAGCUUGGCGUUGGUUGUCCAAGUGAAAGCAAGUAGGCCGAGAAUUUAGGUAAAUCCGGAUUCUUAAAGCUGAGAUGCGAGACGAGCCACUACGGUGGUGAAGUUGUUGAUGCCCUGCUUCCAGGAAAAGCUUCUAAACUUAUGAUUAUAUGAACCGUACCCCAAACCGACACAGGUGGUCAGGUAGAGAAUACUAAGGCGCUUGAGAGAACUCGGGUGAAGGAACUCGGCAAAAUUGUACCGUAACUUCGGGAGAAGGUACGCCCUUGUUUGUGAUAGGACUUGCUCCUUGAGCAGAUGAGGGCCGCAGUGACCAGGUGGCUGGGACUGUUUAUUAAAAACACAGCACUCUGCUAACUCGCAAGAGGACGUAUAGGGUGUGACACCUGCCCGGUGCCGGAAGGUUAAUUGAUGGGGUUAUCUUCGGAGAAGCUCUUGAUCGAAGCCCCGGUAAACGGCGGCCGUAACUAUAACGGUCCUAAGGUAGCGAAAUUCCUUGUCGGGUAAGUUCCGACCUGCACGAAUGGUGUAACCAUGGCCACGCUGUCUCCACCCGAGACUCAGUGAAAUUGAAAUCGCAGUGAAGAUGCUGUGUACCCGCACCUAGACGGAAAGACCCCGUGAACCUUUACUACAGCUUGGCACUGAACAUUGAACCUACAUGUGUAGGAUAGGUGGGAGGCUUCGAAGCACAGUCGCUAGAUUGUGUGGAGCCGUCCUUGAAAUACCACCCUUGUAUGUUUGAUGUUCUAACAUUGGUCCCUUAUCGGGAUUAUGGACAGUGUCUGGUGGGUAGUUUGACUGGGGCGGUCUCCUCCCAAAUAGUAACGGAGGAGCACGAAGGUUAGCUAAUCACGGUCGGACAUCGUGAGGUUAGUGCAAUGGCAUAAGCUAGCUUAACUGCGAGACAGACACGUCGAGCAGGUACGAAAGUAGGUCAUAGUGAUC
RNAcentral lists this ribosomal RNA (1300 nucleotides) under seawater metagenome. Its description in RNAcentral is "bacterial LSU rRNA". It matches the Rfam family "Bacterial large subunit ribosomal RNA", at positions 1128 to 2420 of the family's 2925-position model. The record is from RNAcentral.